CAGUAGCCGCGGGAAUACGUAGGGUGCAAGCGUUAAUCGGAAUUACUGGGCGUAAAGCGUGCGCAGGCGGUUCUAUAAGACAGAUGUGAAAUCCCCGGGCUCAACCUGGGAACUGCAUUCGUGACUGUAGAGCUGGAGUGCGGCAGAGGGGGAUGGAAUUCCGCGUGUAGCAGUGAAAUGCGUAGAUAUGCGGAGGAACACCGAUGGCGAAGGCAAUCCCCUGGGCCUGCACUGACGCUCAUGCACGAAAGCGUGGGGAGCAAACAGGAUUAGAUACCCGAGUAGUCCCUGUCUCUUAUAC
RNAcentral lists this ribosomal RNA (301 nucleotides) under uncultured bacterium. RNAcentral's name for it is "partial 16S ribosomal RNA". It matches the Rfam family "Bacterial small subunit ribosomal RNA", at positions 509 to 807 of the family's 1533-position model. The record is from RNAcentral.